RNAcentral lists this unclassified non-coding RNA (169 nucleotides) under uncultured Rosellinia. Its description in RNAcentral is "sequence contains ITS2". Lineage: Eukaryota; Fungi; Ascomycota; Sordariomycetes; Xylariales; Xylariaceae. The record is from RNAcentral.
CAACCCUUAAGCCCUAGCUGCUUAGCGUUGGGGGCCUGCGAGCGCCUGCUCGCAGCCCCUCGAAGUCAGUGGCGGGAGCCGGUCACACACUCGUAGACGUAGUAGAUCUCUCGUCUCGCCUACAGUUGUGCCGGCCCCCUGCCAUAAAAACACCCCCCAAUUACCAAAA